UUCUUUUCUUAUUUUUCAACAUCCACACAACCAUGAGCUCUCUUUUUGUUUUUUCUUUCUUUUCUUUUUCUUUGCUCCAUAAUUUCAAAGGUGACUUAUUUUUCUUGUUUCUUUUCACACUUUCACCUUUUCUAAAACAUCACUUUUCCAAGUUUUUAAUCAACUCUUCUAAUUUAUUUCACACUUUCACCUUUUCUAAAACAUCACUUUUCCAAGUUUUUAAUCAACUCUUCUAAUUUACUCUCCCCAACUUUAGAUUUCAAGACCAAAUUUAUUCAAUAAUGCUCCCUACUUA
Molecule: long non-coding RNA, 295 nt
Filed under: Lathyrus oleraceus (garden pea)
Lineage: Eukaryota; Viridiplantae; Streptophyta; Magnoliopsida; Fabales; Fabaceae
Description: Pisum sativum (pea) long non-coding RNA (PSAT_LNC033428)
Source: RNAcentral